CAGAAGAUAGUUUAGUUAAAAUACCAACUUUGGGAGUUGGGGCCAUAAAGUUAAGUUUAUUUUUUUGA
RNAcentral lists this transfer RNA (68 nucleotides) under Anolis punctatus (spotted anole). RNAcentral describes it as "tRNA-Pro". Lineage: Eukaryota; Metazoa; Chordata; Lepidosauria; Squamata; Anolidae. The record is from RNAcentral.